UUUCUACUCCCUCCGUCCGAAAAUACUUGUCAUCAAAAUGGAUAAAAAGAUAUGUAUCUAAAACUAAAAUACGUCUAGAUACAUUUCCUUUUAUCCAUUUUGAUGACAAGUAUUUCCGGACGGAGGGAGUAUUUG
This is a non-coding RNA of Triticum aestivum (bread wheat), 135 nucleotides long. Lineage: Eukaryota; Viridiplantae; Streptophyta; Magnoliopsida; Poales; Poaceae. The record is from Rfam.